RNAcentral lists this ribosomal RNA (469 nucleotides) under uncultured bacterium. Its description in RNAcentral is "partial 16S ribosomal RNA". It matches the Rfam family "Bacterial small subunit ribosomal RNA", at positions 27 to 507 of the family's 1533-position model. The record is from RNAcentral.
GGACGAACGCUGGCGGCGUGCUUAACACAUGCACGUCGAACGGAAAGGCCCUGCUUUUGUGGGGUGCUCGAGUGGCGAACGGGUGAGUAACACGUGAGUAACCUGCCCUUGACUUUGGGAUAACUUCAGGAAACUGGGGCUAAUACCGGAUAGGAGCUCCUGCUGCAUGGUGGGGGUUGGAAAGUUUCGGCGGUUGGGGAUGGACUCGCGGCUUAUCAGCUUGUUGGUGGGGUAGUGGCUUACCAAGGCUUUGACGGGUAGCCGGCCUGAGAGGGUGACCGGCCACAUUGGGACUGAGAUACGGCCCAGACUCCUACGGGAGGCAGCAGUGGGGAAUAUUGCACAAUGGGCGGAAGCCUGAUGCAGCAACGCCGCGUGCGGGAUGACGGCCUUCGGGUUGUAAACCGCUUUCGCCUGUGACGAAGCGUGAGUGACGGUAAUGGGUAAAGAAGCACCGGCUAACUACGUG